CAGUAGCCGCGGUAAUACAGAGGGUGCAAGCGUUAAUCGGAAUUACUGGGCGUAAAGCGCGCGUAGGUGGUUUGUUAAGUUGAAUGUGAAAUCCCCGGGCUCAACCUGGGAACUGCAUCCAAAACUGGCAAGCUAGAGUAGGGUAGAGGGUGGUGGAAUUUCCUGUGUAGCGGUGAAAUGCGUAGAUAUAGGAAGGAACACCAGUGGCGAAGGCGACCACCUGGACUCAUACUGACACUGAGGUGCGAAAGCGUGGGGAGCAAACAGGAUUAGAUACCCCUGUAGUCCAUGUCUCUUAUAC
RNAcentral lists this ribosomal RNA (301 nucleotides) under uncultured bacterium. RNAcentral's name for it is "partial 16S ribosomal RNA". It matches the Rfam family "Bacterial small subunit ribosomal RNA", at positions 509 to 807 of the family's 1533-position model. The record is from RNAcentral.